UCGAGAAUCUUCCACAAUGGGCGAAAGCCUGAUGGAGCGACGCCGCGUGAUUGAUGAAGUCCCUUUGGGACGUAAAGAUCUUUUAUGAGGGAAGAAGUUUAUUGACGGUACCCCAUGAAUAAGAGGCUCCUAAUCUCGUGCCAGCAGGAGCGGUAAUACGAGAGCCUCGGGCGUUAUCCGGAAUUAUUGGGCGUAAAGGGUGCGUAGGUUGUUCUGUUAGUCUUUUGUUAAAGACCCGGGCUUAACUUGGGGAUCGCGAAAGAAACGGCAGAACUUGAAAGUGCGAGAGGCGUACGGAACUCAUGGUGUAGGGGUGAAAUCCGUUGAUAUCAUGGGGAACACCAAAAGCGAAGGCAGUACGCUGGCGCAUAUUUGACACUGAAGCACGAAAGCGUGGGUAGCGAAUGGG
This 409-nucleotide ribosomal RNA is filed under the name uncultured bacterium. RNAcentral describes it as "bacterial SSU rRNA". It matches the Rfam family "Bacterial small subunit ribosomal RNA", at positions 355 to 776 of the family's 1533-position model. The record is from RNAcentral.